Ribosomal RNA from Ananas comosus (pineapple), 156 nucleotides. It matches the Rfam family "5.8S ribosomal RNA". From Rfam's summary of the family: 5.8S ribosomal RNA (5.8S rRNA) is a component of the large subunit of the eukaryotic ribosome. It is transcribed by RNA polymerase I as part of the 45S precursor that also contains 18S and 28S rRNA. Lineage: Eukaryota; Viridiplantae; Streptophyta; Magnoliopsida; Poales; Bromeliaceae. The record is from Rfam.
GACUCUCGGCAACGGAUAUCUCGGCUCUCGCAUCGAUGAAGAACGUAGCGAAAUGCGAUACCUGGUGUGAAUUGCAGAAUCCCGCGAACCAUCUAGUCUUUGAACGCAAGUUGCGCCCGAGGCCGUCCGGCCGAGGGCACGCCUGCCUGGGCGUCA